GGCCGAGUAGCUCAGUUGGUUAGAGCAUUGUUCUGAAACGCCAAUGUUGAGGGUUCGAUCCCCACUCAGGCCA
Non-coding RNA from Myotis davidii, 73 nucleotides. The record is from Rfam. Lineage: Eukaryota; Metazoa; Chordata; Mammalia; Chiroptera; Vespertilionidae.